CUCUCUCUCUCUCUCUCUCUCUCUCCCCCUCUAGAGCCAGACAUACAAUGAACUAGACCAAGACCCCCUUUACUCCCCUCUAGACCCAGACAUACAUAGUUUUGCCUCUGAAGUCUAAACCCUUGUAUAUCUAUCUAAACCCAGAGUCCUAUAAAAUUAGGGUUUCUCUUUCCCUCCAACUGUCUCUCUCUGGUAUCUCUUCUCUCUCUGCCGAGAUCUGAUACUGUCUGCUGAUGCAAUAGACGACAAAGUUUAUGCCCAUCAUGGAAACUGAUAAUGCUAAUGUUAAGCAAGCUGAAGAUGCUAAGCUCCUUGCCAAUGAAGCAUAUAAAGCUCAUAAGUUUGCUCAAGCUAUUGAUCUGUAUACACAAGCGAUUGAAUUAAACAGUCAGAAUGCUGUAUACUGGGCCAAUCGUUCAAUUGCCCACCUUAAACUGGAGGAGUAUGGUAGCGCCAUACAAGAUGCUUCCAAGGCUAUUGAAGUUGAUCCCAAAUAUUCAAAGGGAUACUACAGGCGAGGUGCAGCUUAUCUUGCUAUGGGGAAAUUUAAAGAAGCGUUAAAGGAUUUUCAGCAGGUCAAAAGAAUCUGUCCAAAUGAUCCUGAUGCUACCAAGAAAUUGAAGGAAUGUGAGAAAGCAGUGAUGAAACUUAAAUUUGCCGAAGCAAUAUCUGUACCGGAGGCUGAAAGGCGUCCUGUAGCUGAUUCUAUUAAUUAUCAUUCUAUAGGAAUGGCCCCCAGUAUGUCACCAGACUACUACAUAGCAGCAAUUGGACUAGGAGUUGUGGCAGCAUUGGUUAUGUUCAGAGCAGAAGUGACUGCAGUUCUGACUGCAGUUGUGGCCACAAUAGUGGUGGUGAUCAUGGUGGCCCUAGGGGCAUGUUGGUGGCGUGGCUUUCAUGGAAGUCGAGUAAAUAACCUAGAUGUGGAGACACAAUAUGCUGGUGCAAGGAUAGAAGGAGACGUUGUUACUUUGGAUUUUGUGAAGAAAAUGAUGGAGGAUUUCAAGAAUCAGAAGAAUUUACACCAGCGAUAUGCGUUCCAAAUUGUUUUACAGACGAAAGAAAUGUUGCAAGCCAUGCCUUCUCUGGUCGAUAUAAACAUUCCUGAGGGCAAACAUUUUACUGUUUGUGGUGACGUACAUGGUCAGUUUUAUGAUCUUCUAAAUAUUUUUGAGCUUAACGGGCUUCCUUCAGACGAGAAUCCAUAUCUAUUCAAUGGAGACUUUGUGGACAGGGGAUCUUUUUCUUUGGAGGUGAUCCUAACGUUGUUUGCAUUUAAGUGCAUGUCUCCAUCAGCUAUAUAUCUCGCAAGAGGAAACCAUGAGAGCAAGAGCAUGAAUAGGAUAUAUGGUUUUGAGGGCGAGGUCCAGUCCAAAUUAAGUGAAAAGUUUGUGGAGCUGUUUGCCGAAGUGUUUUGUUGUCUACCGCUGGCUCAUGUAAUCAAUGGGAAGGUUUUUGUAGUCCAUGGUGGUCUUUUCAGUGUUGAUGGAGUGAAACUCAGCGACAUUAGAGCAAUUAAUCGGUUUUGUGAACCUCCUGAGGAAGGGUUAAUGUGUGAAUUGCUGUGGAGUGAUCCACAACCUGCACCUGGAAGGGGGCCGAGCAAACGAGGCGUAGGUCUUUCUUUUGGUGGUGAUGUGACAAAAAAAUUUUUGCAGGAAAACAAUUUAGAUUUAGUUGUGCGAUCUCAUGAAGUAAAGGACGAGGGUUAUGAGAUUGAGCAUGAUGGCAAACUCAUCACUGUUUUUUCUGCUCCAAAUUACUGUGAUCAGAUGGGUAACAAGGGUGCCUUUAUCCGUUUCGAAUCACCAGAUUUGAAGCCUAACAUUGUUACUUUCUCAGCAGUGCCACAUCCUGACGUCAAGCCAAUGGCAUACGCAAACAACUUCCUCCGAAUGUUUCAGUAAUUAUGUCCAAGUGGAAGUGCCAACACGGUGUGUUUCUUGCAAUCUGACAACUCUCCGGUUGAAUACAAGUUUGCUUCAGAAGGCUCUACUGGAGAAGGGGUUGGUGCAUGUUCCCAAAUGCAGUAUCUUGUUGUGAUUACUUUCCGUAGAGAUGGUUUUUUUCCAUUUUACCUGUCGUUCUUGUGCUUGUCACCGCUAGGACGAUAAUAUUUCAUCCAUUUUCUUUGAAAUCGUUUGUGUUCUUGUGCUUGCUCUCGGAAGCCAGGUUUAGAGACGAAAUUCAUAACCGUAUGAAGAAUGACUGCCAGCUAAAGCUCAUGGCGUUUUCGCCGUAUUCAUUUCUAUGGAUUUUGAUGUUUUCAUGUUUUUUUGCAAUGGGGUUUUGGAGAUCCAAAAUACCAGCGUAGUAAAGUUGUCAUCACACAGCCUGGAGAGAGCAAUAGCGUCAUCCUGCCCGAGCGGAAAUACUUGCCUAUCCUUGUUUCUCUAUCUCUCUCGUCACAUAACUUCCUCUCUCUUAUGAGAUUUAGACGUGAAUGUGACUUGUAUAUACUAGUAAUUUCUUUGACAUCAAACGAUACUUCCAGUUGUGUUGAAA
Non-coding RNA from Malus domestica (apple), 2505 nucleotides. The record is from RefSeq and is a predicted model, not a curated record. NCBI's taxonomy places the organism in Eukaryota, Viridiplantae, Streptophyta, Magnoliopsida, Rosales, Rosaceae.